CUUUACUUCCCUUAUGUUCCGAGAAUAGAACUGAAUAUUUGAGAGAUGUAUGGGACAGCAAUGUUGGAAAAAAGUGAGAGUUCUCAAAAGGAACUCUGCUAAGCUGGAAGAGAGCUGAUCUUAGCUACAAGUGUUGAGUAGCUCAUGAAAGCAACUAACCCAAAAUAAGAGUUCAGUCUUCAACACUUACUGUGAUGGAGUAAGCAAGAGGAUAAACCAGAGAAAGUUUCCACUUCUGUUCAUUGUCUCCCAUAGAAUACACCUCUUGGAGGUUAAAGUGGACUGGAUCAGUGCAGACUUGUUUUCUCACUGUUGGCCUACACCCCCGCCUCCCUGCGCAACACAGACAAGCCCAAUCUCUCCCCUGACCUGAAAGGAGGGCUGAGCAGAAGUACUUGAAGGUCUCUGCUCAAGACCCCAGAUAAAGAUAUCUAAGAAUGAAAGUACCUGGAUUGGAAUGGAAAUAUUCAAACAGCAUGGCCAGCCAAUUGAGUCCUUGACCUCAACUCUGUUCAGAAACGAAUAUGCCCAAGUCUGGUGUGGAAGGACGGUUUUCCCAAUGUGGCUUGUCUCCACAAUGGCCUGUGGUCAGACCUGAAAAAUUACAUGGAUUUUUUACCAGGAAACAAGUUCCUCAUGUGCUUAGUGUUAAACAGUUGCUAUUUCUUCAAUUUCACUGAUAUGUUUCCUGCACUGCCUAAUUCAGUAUAUUUUUCAUUUCAGUGAUCAUAUUUUUUAUUUAGAUUGCAUUGUGUCUUAAAAUAUCUUUCAUUUCACUCAUUGUGCUCAUGUUUUCCUCUGCUUCCUUGAACGAACACAGCAUAUGUCCAACAGUUGUUUCAGUGCCUGCCUGCCUGUGCCAGAUCUACCAUCUCUGUUAUUUCAUAGUUGGUUUCUACUACUGAUUUUUUUCCUCCUAGUUAUGGAGUAUAUUUUCCGUUUUCUUCUUUCACCUACCUGGUAAUUUUCUUUUACUGGAUACCAGAUAUUGUGUUGUUGAUGUUGUGGAUUUUGUUGUUAUUGUUUUUGUUGAUUGCUGACUUUUGUUGUGUUCCUUAAAAUCAUUUUGCAUUUUGU
This is a long non-coding RNA of Bos taurus (domestic cattle), 1077 nucleotides long. NCBI's taxonomy places the organism in Eukaryota, Metazoa, Chordata, Mammalia, Artiodactyla, Bovidae. The record is from Ensembl.